AGUGAACGCUGGCGGUAGGCCUAACACAUGCAAGUCGAACGGCAGCACAGUAAGAGCUUGCUCUUACGGGUGGCGAGUGGCGGACGGGUGAGGAAUACAUCGGAAUCUACUUUUUCGUGGGGGAUAACGUAGGGAAACUUACGCUAAUACCGCAUACGACCUACGGGUGAAAGCAGGGGAUCUUCGGACCUUGCGCGAUUGAAUGAGCCGAUGUCGGAUUAGCUAGUUGGCGGGGUAAAGGCCCACCAUGGCGACGAUCCGUAGCUGGUCUGAGAGGAUGAUCAGCCACACUGGAACUGAGACACGGUCCAGACUCCUACGGGAGGCAGCAGUGGGGAAUAUUGGACAAUGGGCGCAAGCCUGAUCCAGCCAUACCGCGUGGGUGAAGAAGGCCUUCGGGUUGUAAAGCCCUUUUGUUGGGAAAGAAAAGCAGCAGGUUAAUACCCAGCUGUUCUGACGGUACCCAAAGCAUAAGCACCGGCUAACUUCGUG
Molecule: ribosomal RNA, 492 nt
Filed under: uncultured bacterium
Lineage: Bacteria
Description: partial 16S ribosomal RNA
Rfam family: Bacterial small subunit ribosomal RNA
Source: RNAcentral